RNAcentral lists this ribosomal RNA (478 nucleotides) under uncultured bacterium. RNAcentral's name for it is "partial 16S ribosomal RNA". It matches the Rfam family "Bacterial small subunit ribosomal RNA", at positions 28 to 507 of the family's 1533-position model. The record is from RNAcentral.
GAUGAACGCUGGCGGCGUGCUUAACACAUGCAAGUCGAACGAGAAGUGGAGACGGAAACCUUCGGGCGGAAGACUUUACUUCGAGUGGCGGACGGGUGAGUAACCCGUGGGUAACCUGCCUCAUACAGGGGGAUAACAGUUGGAAACGACUGUUAAUACCGCAUAAGACCACAGCACCGCAUGGUGCGGGGGUAAAAACUCCGGUGGUAUGAGAUGGACCCGCGUUCGAUUAGCCAGUUGGCGGGGUAACGGCCCACCAAAGCGACGAUCGAUAGCCGAUCUGAGAGGAUGACCGGCCACAUUGGGACUGAGACACGGCCCAAACUCCUACGGGAGGCAGCAGUGGGGAAUAUUGCACAAUGGGGGAAACCCUGAUGCAGCGACGCCGCGUGAGUGAAGAAGUAUUUCGGUAUGUAAAGCUCUAUCAGCAGGGAAGAAAAUGACAGUACCUGAGUAAGAAGCCCCGGCUAACUACGUG